RNAcentral lists this ribosomal RNA (406 nucleotides) under uncultured bacterium. RNAcentral's name for it is "partial 16S ribosomal RNA". It matches the Rfam family "Bacterial small subunit ribosomal RNA", at positions 30 to 526 of the family's 1533-position model. The record is from RNAcentral.
AUUGAACGCUGGCGGCAGGCCUAACACCUGCAAGUCGAACGAGAGGCGGACGGGUGAGUAAUGUCUGGAAAACUGCCUGAUGGAGGGGGAUAACUCCUGGAAACGGUAGCUAAUACCGCAUACCAUCAGAUGUGCCCAGAUGGGAGUAGCUAGUUGGUGGGGUAACGGCUCACCAAGGCGACGAUCCCUACCUGGUCUGAGAGGAUGACCGGCCACACUGGAACUGAGAUACGGUCCAGACUCCUACGGGAGGCAGCAGUGGGGAAGAUUGCACAAUGGGCGCAAGCCUGAUGCAGCCAUGCCGCGUGUAUGAAGAAGGCCUUCGGGUUGUAAAGUACUUUCAGCGGGGAGGCGUUACCCGCAGAAGAAGCACCGGCUAACUCCGUGCCAGCAGCCGCGGUAAUAC